GCAAUCCUCCUGCCUCAGCCUUCCAAGUGGCUAAGACAACAGUUUUCAUCAUUUGAUUAUCAGUUCCCAUUCAGGAGUUGGUCUUCUACUUUUGAACUUGCCGUGUGCAUCUCAUCAUGAUUGUGCCUUGCUGGAAUUCAGUACAUGUGAAGUAUGAUGUCUACAACCAGAAUGGAGCCAAGGGGAAAAAUAAAACUGACAACAUGGAUGAGAAAAUUGAGACUUAGAAACUGUAAGGACUUACCCAAGGUC
Long non-coding RNA from Cercocebus atys (sooty mangabey), 252 nucleotides. RefSeq lists it as uncharacterized. The transcript is spliced from 3 exons. Lineage: Eukaryota; Metazoa; Chordata; Mammalia; Primates; Cercopithecidae. The record is from RefSeq and is a predicted model, not a curated record.